RNAcentral lists this non-coding RNA (187 nucleotides) under Ralstonia pickettii. Its description in RNAcentral is "6S RNA". It matches the Rfam family "6S / SsrS RNA". Rfam says of the family: E. coli 6S RNA was the first non coding RNA to be sequenced, but its function was unknown until recently. It consists of 184 nucleotides that fold into an extended hairpin structure with a large single-stranded internal bulge. Lineage: Bacteria; Pseudomonadati; Pseudomonadota; Betaproteobacteria; Burkholderiales; Burkholderiaceae. The record is from RNAcentral.
UACAAGCUGCAAUGUACGUAUUGAAUUAAGUUUUAACCUCUAAAUUAUGAAUCGGGAGUUUUAUAUCGAAAUUGGAAUGUCGAGCCGUCACUGAACGGAAGACAGGAAGGUUUCUGCAAACACCCACUUGUUUAAAGUGGUGGUUUAAAACUUUUUAUUUCAAAAAUACGGCAAUUGUGGCCUGUAU